Molecule: ribosomal RNA, 550 nt
Filed under: uncultured bacterium
Lineage: Bacteria
Description: bacterial SSU rRNA
Rfam family: Bacterial small subunit ribosomal RNA
Source: RNAcentral
UAGGGAAUCUUCGGCAAUGGGGGGAACCCUGACCGAGCAACGCCGCGUGAGUGAAGAAGGUUUUCGGAUCGUAAAGCUCUGUUGUUAAGGAAGAACGAGUGUGAGAAUGGAAAGUUCAUACUGUGACGGUACUUAACCAGAAAGGGACGGCUAACUACGUGCCAGCAGCCGCGGUAAUACGUAGGUCCCGAGCGUUGUCCGGAUUUAUUGGGCGUAAAGCGAGCGCAGGCGGUUAGAAAAGUCUGAAGUGAAAGGCAGUGGCUCAACCAUUGUAGGCUUUGGAAACUGUUUAACUUGAGUGCAGAAGGGGAGAGUGGAAUUCCAUGUGUAGCGGUGAAAUGCGUAGAUAUAUGAAGGAACACCGGUGGCGAAAGCGGCUCUCUGGUCUGUAACUGACGCUGAGGCUCGAAAGCGUGGGGAGCGAACAGGAUUAGAUACCCUGGUAGUCCACGCCGUAAACGAUGAGUGCUAGGUGUUAGGUCCUUUCCGGGACUUAGUGCCGCAGCUAACGCAUUAAGCACUCCGCCUGGGGAGUACGACCGCAAGGUUG